UAAAAAAAAAUUCAUCUAUUUCUAUUGUUUAAAACUGGCGUGGUUAAUAGAAUAACAAAAUAAUUACACAUGGCUUGCUAUGUGUACCUCGUGUUAAUGUAUAAGGACCAAUUUUUAACAGUAUAAAUAGAUGAAAUUUUUAACA
Non-coding RNA from Gossypium hirsutum (cotton), 145 nucleotides. Lineage: Eukaryota; Viridiplantae; Streptophyta; Magnoliopsida; Malvales; Malvaceae. The record is from Rfam.